CUUCGGUUACAUCGGUGGACAGGUGGUGCAUGGUUGUCGUCAGCUCGUGUCGUGAGAUGUUGGGUUAAGUCCCGCAACGAGCGCAACCCCUAUUGUUAGUUGCCAUCAUUCGGUUGGGCACUCUAGCGAGACUGCCGGUAAUAAACCGGAGGAAGGUGGGGAUGACGUCAAAUCAUCAUGCCCCUUAUGACCUGGGCUACACACGUGCUACAAUGGUUGGUACAACGAGUUGCGAGUCGGUGACGGCGAGCUAAUCUCUUAAAGCCAAUCUCAGUUCGGAUUGUAGGCUGCAACUCGCCUACAUGAAGUCGGAAUCGCUAGUAAUCGCGGAUCAGCACGCCGCGGUGAAUACGUUCCCGGGCCUU
This 365-nucleotide ribosomal RNA is filed under the name uncultured Streptococcus sp. RNAcentral's name for it is "bacterial SSU rRNA". It matches the Rfam family "Bacterial small subunit ribosomal RNA", at positions 1018 to 1382 of the family's 1533-position model. The record is from RNAcentral. Lineage: Bacteria; Bacillati; Bacillota; Bacilli; Lactobacillales; Streptococcaceae.